GCUGCAGUGUUGUGAGUUGGAAGCUGGGGAGCUCGGCAUGGCGGUCCCCGCUGCAGCCAUGGGGCCCUCGGCGUUGGGCCAGAGCGGUCCCGGCUCGAUGGCCCCGUGGUGCUCAGUGAGCAGCGGCCCGUCGCGCUACGUGCUUGGGAUGCAGGAGCUGUUCCGGGGCCACAGCAAGACGCGCGAGUUCUGGCGCACAGCGCCAAGGUGCACUCGGUGGCCUGGAGUUGCGACGGGCGUCGCCUAGCCUCGGGGUCCUUCGACAAGACGGCCAGCGUCUUCUUGCUGGAGAAGGACCGGUUGGUCAAAGAAAACAAUUAUCGGGGACAUGGGGAUAGUGUGGACCAGCUUUGUUGGCAUCCAAGUAAUCCUGACCUAUUUGUUACGGCGUCCGGAGAUAAAACCAUUCGCAUCUGGGAUGUGAGGACUACAAAAUGCAUUGCCACUGUGAACACUAAAGGGGAGAACAUUAAUAUCUGCUGGAGUCCUGAUGGGCAGACCAUUGCUGUAGGCAACAAGGAUGAUGUGGUGACCUUUAUUGAUGCCAAGACACACCGUUCCAAAGCAGAAGAGCAGUUCAAGUUCGAGGUCAACGAAAUCUCCUGGAACAAUGACAAUAAUAUGUUCUUCCUGACAAAUGGCAAUGGUUGUAUCAACAUCCUCAGCUACCCAGAACUGAAGCCUGUGCAGUCCAUCAACGCCCAUCCUUCCAACUGCAUCUGUAUCAAGUUUGACCCCAUGGGGAAGUACUUUGCCACAGGAAGUGCAGAUGCUUUGGUCAGCCUCUGGGAUGUGGAUGAGUUAGUGUGUGUUCGGUGCUUUUCCAGGCUGGAUUGGCCUGUAAGAACCCUCAGUUUCAGCCAUGAUGGGAAAAUGCUGGCGUCAGCAUCGGAAGAUCAUUUUAUUGACAUUGCUGAAGUGGAGACAGGUAACUUCAUGAGAAUCUACCGUCUUUCACCUUUGGCAGUCAGGACUUCUCUUGUGAUCUCAUCUCUGCAUGUGACUACUUCACCAGCAUGAUCAUGAAUGAAUUUGUCUCCUUUAGACAAGUAUGUUUCUGUUUUGACUGUCACUGCCAGGUGGUGAGGAAGCAAAGAGUUAAGAAAUAAACAGGCAGGUCUGAGGAAGGUGAUUUAGAAAAAUAUUUUGAUUUAUUUAAACUUUAAACUACAGAGUAGAAGGAAGAAAAAAGCACCACUUGGGGUCCCACUCUCUAAAUACCACCUGUUUUAAAUGUUGUGAUAUAUUUCUCUUUAUCUUUUGCCUGUAUAUGAACUUGAAAAAAUAUUAUUUAAAAUUUGAGGAAUUAUAAAGUUUUUGCUUUAAAAACAACAGAAGCUGGAAAUAGAAAAAUGGGAGGAGAGUAUUCAUUUUGCAAAAGAAUUUCCUCAGAUUUGUUUUUUAAUGUUGCUUUAUUGUUUUUGGAAAUCUGUGACACUCUUCGUAAAAAGAUUAAAACUGUAUAGAAAACUUCGAAGAGGAAAGUAAAGAACUUGAAAUUCCACUAUGUAAAGAAUGCUCCUGUUAGUCACGUUGUGGUGAACAUUGUCCAGCAUCCAGCCAUGCAGAUCCUUCAUGUAACUGCAUGUCCCUGUGACGCGGAGACACUUUCCUGCUCAGUGACCUGCUCUUGAGUUAACCCACCUGUGCUCAGAACCGGCUCUGUCCUCCGCUGGCUUGUGGGCUCUCUGUGCCUGGGGGUUCUCUGUAAAAUGAGGUAAUAGUUGUAUCUAUCUCAUGGGAUUAGUAGGUGGAUUAAACCAGUUAAUACAGGUAAGUACUUAAUGAAUGUGUCCUUCGUUUUGAACGUAUUGAUUGGUUUCUCUCUAUUGUUUUCUAUAGGGGACAAACUAUGGGAGGUACAGUGUGAGUCUCCGACCUUCACAGUGGCAUGGCACCCCAAAAGGCCUCUGCUGGCAUUUGCCUGUGAUGACAAAGACGGCAAAUAUGACAGCAGCCGGGAAGCCGGAACUGUGAAGCUGUUUGGGCUUCCUAAUGAUUCUUGAGAGGAGGUUGUAGGGAGAGGAGGCCCCGGCAGAGGUCUUCCUUCAUGUGGUUAGUUUGGUCUGUUCUCUCGGAGUUGGUGGGCACCCUAAAUAUUUGUAAGUUGGUAUAAAUUGUAAACGUCUCUGGUCAGGCUGCGCAUUUCGUUCUUUUGCUUUGUCUGUGUAUUAGCUCUUUCCAUUCUUUGCCCCCAGCAUGAGUUAACUCGCGUGGACUCUGCAGUGCGAGUAGUGACCCCAGCAUACCUUGUCCUCUGGACCUCCUGUCUUCUCUGCUUCUGGGUGCAUGGUAGACUUUGUGGCAUUUGAUACAACUUGGACAAUACCUAGUUUGGAGGGAGGGGAAUGGAAGGGCAUGGAAGUUUUUUUAAAUAAUUAAAAAAAUAUAUAUAUAAUUUUGAGAAUUGAGCAUUUAAUAAACUGACUUUUGUUAUUAUGGAACUUC
Molecule: long non-coding RNA, 2448 nt
Organism: Homo sapiens (human)
Lineage: Eukaryota; Metazoa; Chordata; Mammalia; Primates; Hominidae
Source: Ensembl